Molecule: small nucleolar RNA, 65 nt
Filed under: Euglena gracilis
Lineage: Eukaryota; Euglenozoa; Euglenophyceae; Euglenales; Euglenaceae
Description: Eg-m50.2
Source: RNAcentral
CUGAUGAUCUCUGUUUUAGCCCUUGAACUCCGAAGGCCUGACCAAUCAGUGCAGUGCUGCUGAUG